The sequence is a transfer RNA, 74 nucleotides long. It matches the Rfam family "tRNA". Rfam says of the family: Transfer RNA (tRNA) molecules are approximately 80 nucleotides in length. Their secondary structure includes four short double-helical elements and three loops (D, anti-codon, and T loops).
AGGCUCGUAGCUCAGGCGGUUAGAGCGCACGCCUGAUAAGCGUGAGGUCGGUGGUUCGAGUCCACUCGGGCCUA